This 701-nucleotide ribosomal RNA is filed under the name uncultured marine eukaryote. RNAcentral's name for it is "SSU rRNA". It matches the Rfam family "Eukaryotic small subunit ribosomal RNA", at positions 608 to 1315 of the family's 1831-position model. The record is from RNAcentral.
AGUUGUUGCAGUUAAAAAGCUCGUAGUUGGAUUUCGGAAUGGGCCAGUUGGUCCGCCGCAAGGUGAGUUACUGACUGGUUUGUUCUUCUUCGCAAAGACUGCGUGUGCUCUUUACUGAGUGUACGUAGGAUUUACGACGUUUACUUUGAAAAAAUUAGAGUGUUCAAAGCAGGCUAUCGCUUGAAUACAUGAGCAUGGAAUAAUGGAAUAGGACUUUGGUUCUAUUUUGUUGGUUUCUAGGACCGAAGUAAUGAUUAAGAGGGACAAUUGGGGGCAUCCGUAUUUCGUUGUCAGAGGUGAAAUUCUUGGAUUUACGAAAGACGAACAACUGCGAAAGCACUUGCCAAGAGUGUUUUCAUUAAUCAAGAACGAAAGUUAGAGGAUCGAAGACGAUCAGAUACCGUCCUAGUUCUAACCAUAAACGAUGUCGACUAGGGAUCAGCGGGCGUUAUCGUACGACCCCGUUGGCACCUUACGGGAAACCAAAGUUUUUGGAUUCCGGGGGAAGUAUGGUUGCAAAGCUGAAACUUAAAGGAAUUGACGGAAGGGCACCACCAGGAGUGGAGCCUGCGGCUUAAUUUGACUCAACACGGGGAAAACUCACCAGGUCCAGACAUAGUAAGGAUUGACAGGUUGAGAGCCCUUUCUUGAUUCUAUGGGUGGUGGUGCAUGGCCGUUCUUAGUUGGUGGAGUGAUUUGUC